This is a long non-coding RNA of Canis lupus familiaris (dog), 1038 nucleotides long. RefSeq lists it as uncharacterized. Lineage: Eukaryota; Metazoa; Chordata; Mammalia; Carnivora; Canidae. The record is from RefSeq and is a predicted model, not a curated record. The transcript is spliced from 3 exons.
CGCCCCGCGCCCGCAGAGGACUUCACCCCCAGGCUGGCCGCUGGUGCGGAUUUUGAUCUCCUUUACUGCUUUAUGGCCGCUGCGGGGCUGUGAUCUUCGAUCCGCAGCGACGGCACCUGGGAGCUUCGGCGAGGCCGGGGCGGCCGGAUCGCGUUGGGUCCGCGUGGCGCAGGGCUCGGCCUCUCCCGGCUCCUGCGGGUCCACUGAAGCCCGAGGCCCGGCCUCCGGGGCUGCUUUUCCCAGCCCCUUACCCGAGUGAAGAGCCGUCUGUAGCCCGGCAGCCGCCCCCUCCCUGCUUCCGCCGGUCCCUGAACACCCCUGUGACCCGGGAAGCGCAGGAAGGGCAGGCGCUGUUCGGCGCGUUUGACCGCCGAGGAAACCAAAGCGCGUGUUUAGCUGUUACCUUUUGGUAGGCUUCGAAGGGACACAGCUGAGCUCACAGCAAGACCGGUGUUCGCCGAGGAACAGGCCGGUCCUCCCCAGAUACACCACGGGGCGUCCCUGGAUCCCUGCCAUGGACGAGGGUCCUCCUGCUGCUGGUGCAGUGGACAGGGGCCUGCGUCUGAACCCCGGGGCUUCGGUCAUCGCCAGUGACUCUGGGCAGUGUGAAUGCCACCCCUCAGCGUCUUCUCAUUUCGGGUUGCCAUGAGAAGUUAGCUGAGUGCCUUGCCCAAGAGAUGUGUCAGAUGAAUCAAGUUGAGUCUGAUCGCCUCAGCAGAGAAGGACCAUUAGUCAAGAAGCAAAUCGGGCCUCUGGUGACGUUUGCAUUAUAAAAAGUACUUCUAAAAAAUGGAAGCUUUGUGAUGACAGUUUUGUGUCCAUUUUCUGUUUAUUCACUGCUGUGUCCUCAGUGCCUAGGAUAUUGUCAUUCAAUAUAAUGUUUGUCAAAUAAAUGAAUUUACUAGCUUAAGUGAGAAGCUCUGGAAUGAUCAGAGGACAUAAGUGAGGAAUUGGUUAAGUAAAUUAAUGGUCCCUCCAUAUGAUGGGAUACUGUUCAACAUUUAAAGAGUAUGGCCCUGGAGUGCCUGACUGGCUCAA